RNAcentral lists this ribosomal RNA (2046 nucleotides) under Salmonella enterica subsp. enterica serovar Enteritidis. RNAcentral describes it as "partial 23S ribosomal RNA". It matches the Rfam family "Bacterial large subunit ribosomal RNA", at positions 580 to 2610 of the family's 2925-position model. The record is from RNAcentral. Lineage: Bacteria; Pseudomonadati; Pseudomonadota; Gammaproteobacteria; Enterobacterales; Enterobacteriaceae.
CAGGUUUACCUGUGUGACUGCGUACCUUUUGUAUAAUGGGUCAGCGACUUAUAUUCUGUAGCAAGGUUAACCGAAUAGGGGAGCCGGAGGGAAACCGAGUCUUAACCGGGCGUUAAGUUGCAGGGUAUAGACCCGAAACCCGGUGAUCUAGCCAUGGGCAGGUUGAAGGUUGGGUAACACUAACUGGAGGACCGAACCGACUAAUGUUGAAAAAUUAGCGGAUGACCUGUGGCUGGGGGUGAAAGGCCAAUCAAACCGGGAGAUAGCUGGUUCUCCCCGAAAGCUAUUUAGGUAGCGCCUCGUGAAUUCAUCUCCGGGGGUAGAGCACUGUUUCGGCUAGGGGGCCAUCCCGGCUUACCAACCCGAUGCAAACUGCGAAUACCGGAGAAUGUUAUCACGGGAGACACACGGCGGGUGCUAACGUCCGUCGUGAAGAGGGAAACAACCCAGACCGCCAGCUAAGGUCCCAAAGUCAUGGUUAAGUGGGAAACGAUGUGGGAAGGCCCAGACAGCCAGGAUGUUGGCUUAGAAGCAGCCAUCAUUUAAAGAAAGCGUAAUAGCUCACUGGUCGAGUCGGCCUGCGCGGAAGAUGUAACGGGGCUAAACCAUGCACCGAAGCUGCGGCAGCGACACUGUGUGUUGUUGGGUAGGGGAGCGUUCUGUAAGCCUGUGAAGGUGUGUCGUGAGGCAUGCUGGAGGUAUCAGAAGUGCGAAUGCUGACAUAAGUAACGAUAAAGCGGGUGAAAAGCCCGCUCGCCGGAAGACCAAGGGUUCCUGUCCAACGUUAAUCGGGGCAGGGUGAGUCGACCCCUAAGGCGAGGCCGAAAGGCGUAGUCGAUGGGAAACGGGUUAAUAUUCCCGUACUUGGUGUUACUGCGAAGGGGGGACGGAGAAGGCUAUGUUGGCCGGGCGACGGUUGUCCCGGUUUAAGCGUGUAGGUGUGUGUUCCAGGUAAAUCCGGUUCACUUUAACACUGAGGCGUGACGACGAGGCACUACGGUGCUGAAGCAACAAAUGCCCUGCUUCCAGGAAAAGCCUCUAAGCAUCAGGUAACAUCAAAUCGUACCCCAAACCGACACAGGUGGUCAGGUAGAGAAUACCAAGGCGCUUGAGAGAACUCGGGUGAAGGAACUAGGCAAAAUGGUGCCGUAACUUCGGGAGAAGGCACGCUGACACGUAGGUGAAGUGAUUUACUCAUGGAGCUGAAGUCAGUCGAAGAUACCAGCUGGCUGCAACUGUUUAUUAAAAACACAGCACUGUGCAAACACGAAAGUGGACGUAUACGGUGUGACGCCUGCCCGGUGCCGGAAGGUUAAUUGAUGGGGUCAGCGCAAGCGAAGCUCCUGAUCGAAGCCCCGGUAAACGGCGGCCGUAACUAUAACGGUCCUAAGGUAGCGAAAUUCCUUGUCGGGUAAGUUCCGACCUGCACGAAUGGCGUAAUGAUGGCCAGGCUGUCUCCACCCGAGACUCAGUGAAAUUGAACUCGCUGUGAAGAUGCAGUGUACCCGCGGCAAGACGGAAAGACCCCGUGAACCUUUACUAUAGCUUGACACUGAACAUUGAGCCUUGAUGUGUAGGAUAGGUGGGAGGCUUUGAAGUGUGGACGCCAGUCUGCAUGGAGCCGACCUUGAAAUACCACCCUUUAAUGUUUGAUGUUCUAACGUGGACCCGUUACCCGGGUUGCGGACAGUGUCUGGUGGGUAGUUUGACUGGGGCGGUCUCCUCCUAAAGAGUAACGGAGGAGCACGAAGGUUGGCUAAUCCUGGUCGGACAUCAGGAGGUUAGUGCAAUGGCAUAAGCCAGCUUGACUGCGAGCGUGACGGCGCGAGCAGGUGCGAAAGCAGGUCAUAGUGAUCCGGUGGUUCUGAAUGGAAGGGCCAUCGCUCAACGGAUAAAAGGUACUCCGGGGAUAACAGGCUGAUACCGCCCAAGAGUUCAUAUCGACGGCGGUGUUUGGCACCUCGAUGUCGGCUCAUCACAUCCUGGGGCUGAAGUAGGUCCCAAGGGUAUGGCUGUUCGCCAUUUAAAGUGGUACGCGAGCUGGGU